This 64-nucleotide transfer RNA is filed under the name Myotis davidii. It matches the Rfam family "tRNA". From Rfam's summary of the family: Transfer RNA (tRNA) molecules are approximately 80 nucleotides in length. Lineage: Eukaryota; Metazoa; Chordata; Mammalia; Chiroptera; Vespertilionidae. The record is from Rfam by way of RNAcentral.
GGCUCUGUGGUUGAAUGUCAACCCAUGAACCAUGAGGUCACUGGUUCGAUUCCAGUCAGGGCAU